UAAGGAAUAUUGGUCAAUGGACGCAAGUCUGAACCAGCUAUGCCGCGUGAAGGAUUAAGGUCCUCUGGAUUGUAAACUUCUUUUAUCCGGGACGAAAAAAGGUCUUUCUAGAUCACUUGACGGUACCAGAUGAAUAAGCACCGGCUAACUACGUGCCAGCAGCUGCGGUAAAACGUAGGGUGCAAGCGUUGUCCGGAAUUACUGGGCGUAAAGGGCGUGUAGGCGGCUUGGAAAGUCGGAUGUGAAAGCUCGUGGCUUAACUGCGAGACGUCGUUCGAUACUUCCAGGCUUGAGGGAGGCAGAGGAGAGUAGAAUUCCCGGUGUAACGGUGAAAUGUGUAGAGAUCGGGAGGAAUACCAGUGGCGAAAGCGGCUCUCUGGGCCUCUCCUGACGCUGAGGCGCCAAAGCGUGGGGAGCAAACCGG
This 424-nucleotide ribosomal RNA is filed under the name uncultured bacterium. RNAcentral describes it as "bacterial SSU rRNA". It matches the Rfam family "Bacterial small subunit ribosomal RNA", at positions 355 to 776 of the family's 1533-position model. The record is from RNAcentral.